Molecule: long non-coding RNA, 2417 nt
Organism: Aethalodelphis obliquidens (Pacific white-sided dolphin)
Lineage: Eukaryota; Metazoa; Chordata; Mammalia; Artiodactyla; Delphinidae
Exons: 3
Source: RefSeq, a predicted model, not a curated record
GGGGACGAGGGAAAUUUGAAAUCACUCCGGAGCCACCCCUCCGCUCCUCCUCCACAGGCGCCGCCUCCCGGCCCCCCGGCAGGUUAAAUCACCCCCGGGAUAACAGGCCUUCAAGGGGACCCCGCCGACGUCCCCCAACCCUCAAGACUCCUCCCAGGGCCCGUCUUCCCCGCCCCCACUCCGACCACGGACACAGACGCGCAGGUCUGGAUGCGGGGGCCCAGAGAAGGAAGAGCCCCCACCGGAGUCACACAGCAGCCGGGUCUCCCCUUUACCCCCACUCCAGCCGCAGUGCCACCUGGGCCCUGCGGUGUCCCCGCGGGUCAGUCAUCCCGCUCUGGACCCUCGGACUAGUCCUUCCUCCCUCCCUCCUACCCCGCUGGCCCUUUGUCGGCCAUCUUGAGGGGAGGGGAGGGAGAGCAGAGGAGCGAAGACAGGUCCCUGGCUGGGUUCUGGGGUACAGCUGGCAUCACUCGAAGGAGAAGCCCCAGUCUGUUAGAGGUCUCGACGGCCUCUGCCCUUAAAGGGGCAUUGAACUAUUGGAAAACAGCACUUCCUGAUAUUUCUCAUACCUGGUAUUUACGCUGACAGUAUUUGUUUACCUGCAUAUUGUGUGUCUCCAGGUAUGAGACUGUGAGGGCAAGGUCUCAGUGUGUCUCAGCACACAGUUAGAUGCUGAAUAAAUGUUGAAUGAAUGAAAGAACAAAUGAAUGAUGACAAGAUGGCCCACAAAGGCCGUAGGUGAGCAGGCUCCAGCCUGCCUUCCCAGGCGUCUCCUAGCCUUGCCCCUCCCUCACUUCAUCUAACCUUCUCACCUCCUUGCUCUUCCUCAAAUACAUCAAGCAUGUUUCUGGAUGUUCUUUGCCCAGAUCUCUACACCAUUCAGUUUUCUCCCAAAAUGUCACCUUCUGGAAAGAUUUUUCUGACCAACCUGCCUGAACAGUCUCCCCUCCUUCACUCCUAUUUCAUUCGCUUUGUAGCACGUAUAGCCAUUUGAAAUUGCUUUGCAUAUUUCCUUGUUUACAUCUUUCUUAUUCUUGUUUUACACACACACACACACACACACACACACACACACACACACACUGUGAACUCUACUCCAUGAGGGCAGAAACCGCAUCUGUCUGUCCUGUUCCAAGCUGUUUCUAGUGCCUACAAGGAGGAGUUCAAUACAAGUUUGUUGAAUGAAUGAACACGGGUUUCCUGACUCCUGGGCUCCGAAAACCACAGCUUUUUCCCUUCAUCUCUCACCAGGAACCCAGAGACAGGCUAAGGAGAUUCGAAAGUGAAAUGGACUCAGCAACCAGGAAAGCCUCAUGUGAAUGAGUGGCAGGAACUCCUUGACCUUCUGGCACAAACAUCCAAAAUUGGGUUCCAGUCAGUUGGUGCAGGAAGAAGAUCUCUCAAGAGGGCCUGUGGCUUGUGCCCACCAUCUGUGUUUUCCUCAGCCACAGAGAGAGAAGACUUCAGGGGAUUGCUGCUGGGACCAUUGAAUGCAUUUAAAUGAACACAUUGAUGCUGGAUUACCCAGUUAGGCAGACAAGGCUUUGGCCCCCAGUGAAAUAUUUUUAAGAAAGAUUUUGCUUUUUAUUCUCCCAGACCCCCAAGAUUUUUCUUUUUGAUAUUUAAAAAAUAUAUAUAGAUGUUACUACAUGCACACAAACUUUUUUUUCUAGACUGAUUUCAGAUUUUCCUCUGGUUGCAUAGAGGUGCAACAGUGCUUACUUAAAAAUUUAUUGUAACAGAUCACAAUCAUGAUGUGAUGGUAAUCAAUAUUUAUUAAGGAAACGACAAAAAUUCUAUGCUUAAAGGACAUUUGCUCUGUCAUCAAAAAACCAUAGAUAAGAGCAUGUUCUUGCUCUUAGGAAAUAAACACGGAAGUAUUGAGGCAUAAAGGGGCACAAUGUCACCAAUUUGCCCUUCUAUGGUUCAGAAACAAUAAUAUGCAUGUAUAUGGGAGAGGGAGAAUGGAAAGCAAAUGGGGCAAAAAUGUAAGCAAAUGGAGAAUCUGGUUAAAAAGACAUUCAUGAGUUCCUUGUGCUAGUCUUACAACUCCUCUGUAAAUUAGAGAUUAUCUCAAAUAAAAAGAUUAUCUCCCCCCAAAAAGAUUAACAUUAAAAAGAAAAAACACACAUACAUACAGACAUCCUUGAUGCCCUCAUGCUAAUAAAUCAACACAUUGAUGGGCUUUUGCCUGUGUUGUGAUUAAAUAUUAUAUUUGUAUAGAAUUAUACCAUCAUCUUUUCAGCUUUUAGAGCAGCUACAGGUUUUUAAUAACACUUGAAAAGUGCCUGAUGAGCAGUUAACUUCUCCAUAUAUGGUCAGUAUUUUUAUGAGCAAGUGACUUCACCUCUCUGUGCCUCAAUUUCUUCACCUGUAAAAUGGAGGUAGUAAUAGUACCACGUUGUAGGGUUGUU